Molecule: long non-coding RNA, 449 nt
Filed under: Vombatus ursinus (common wombat)
Lineage: Eukaryota; Metazoa; Chordata; Mammalia; Diprotodontia; Vombatidae
Description: lncRNA (ENSVURG00010002606.1)
Source: RNAcentral
GGAGGGAGAGAAAGAGGGAAAGAGAGGGGGGGGUGGAGGGAGGAGGGAGAGAGGGAGGGGAGUGGAGGAGGAGAGAACAGUGUAUACCGCAGACAUCAUUUCUACUACAGUGGCAGAGACGUCCAGGACCUGUUUCACUGCAGGGGGAUAAAAAACAAGCCCUGUGGAUCAGCAACAGCAGCAGCAAGCAGCAACAGCCGCCGCAAGACAUUGUUUCUCUCCCUCUGCCCCCCUUCCCCAAGCAACCCCAGAUCCAUUUACACUUUACACUGCAUCACAAGGCAAGCCAGAAGGGUGGUCCAUUCAAACUUUGGAUUUAUUCAUGGUCUUUGUACAGCAGCCCCUUCUCCCAUCAUCACUACUGGGAAGUGUACUAUAAAUCAGCAUAUUGGAGCACAAUGAAAGAGUUUAUUCCCAGGCCUCAGGAGAAGUUCAGCUGCACCCAGUGA